GGACCAAAUUUGAAGUAAAGUAGAUUAUUACGAUCAGUUGACCCUACUAAACUACUCUACUUUUAGUUUGGGCCC
This 75-nucleotide microRNA precursor is filed under the name Haemonchus placei. RNAcentral's name for it is "mir-5928 microRNA precursor family". It matches the Rfam family "mir-5928 microRNA precursor family". The record is from Rfam by way of RNAcentral. Lineage: Eukaryota; Metazoa; Nematoda; Chromadorea; Rhabditida; Trichostrongylidae.